RNAcentral lists this ribosomal RNA (439 nucleotides) under uncultured bacterium. Its description in RNAcentral is "partial 16S ribosomal RNA". It matches the Rfam family "Bacterial small subunit ribosomal RNA", at positions 339 to 795 of the family's 1533-position model. The record is from RNAcentral.
CUACGGGUGGCAGCAGUGGGGAAUAUUGCACAAUGGAGGAAACUCUGAUGCAGCAACGCCGCGUGGAGGAUGACACUUUUCGGAGCGUAAACUCCUUUUAUAUAGGAAGAAGAUGACGGUACUAUAUGAAUAAGCGCCGGCUAACUCCGUGCCAGCAGCCGCGGUAAUAUGGAGGGCGCAAGCGUUACUCGGAAUCACUGGGCGUAAAGAGCGUGUAGGCGGAUUAAAAAGUCAGAAGUGAAAUCCUAUAGCUUAACUAUAGAACUGCUUCUGAAACUCUUAAUCUAGAAUAUGGGAGAGGUAGAUGGAAUUUCUGGUGUAGGGGUAAAAUCCGUAGAGAUCAGAAGGAAUACCGAUUGCGAAGGCGAUCUACUAGAACAUUAUUGACGCUGAGACACGAAAGCGUGGGGAGCAAACAGGAUUAGAUACCCGAGUAGUC